AGAGGAGUUAAGGGAGUUGAUGAAAGGGAUGGAGGGAGAGGCAACGAUGCCGCCAAGGAUGUUUGUGAAGGGAAGGUAUGUAGGUGGGGUGGAGGAGGUGAUGAAUAUAGUGGAGGAGGGGAAAAUGGGAGACCUGCUGCAGGGCUUGCCAAAGAAGAGAGGGGGUAUGUGUGAUGGGUGUGGGGAUGCGAGGUUCCUUCCAUGUUUUUCGUG
This 213-nucleotide unclassified non-coding RNA is filed under the name Hevea brasiliensis (rubber tree). The record is from RNAcentral. Lineage: Eukaryota; Viridiplantae; Streptophyta; Magnoliopsida; Malpighiales; Euphorbiaceae.